GUCUGUUUGAAUUAAAAUAAAAAGUCUAGCCUGCCCACUGAGAUAUUAAAGGGCCGCGGUAAUUUGACCGUGCGAAGGUAGCAUAAUCAGUAGUCUUUUAAUUGGAGGCUUGUAUGAAUGGUUGGAUGAGGGACAUACUGUCUCUUCUUUAGAGUUAUAAUUUGACUUUUAAGUGAAAAGGCUUAAAUUUUUUGAAGUGACGAUAAGACCCUAUAAAACUUGAUAUAUCUUUUUUUUCUUUGAUAAUUAAGUUUAAAUUAAGGCUGGAGGUGGUAUAUUACGUUGGGGAAACGUUGAUAUAAAUUGUUGUAAUUGUUUUAAAAAUUUAAUAAUUAUAAUUAGAUUUUGAUCCUUUAUUAUGGAUUAUAAGGUUAAGUUACUUUAGGGAUAACAGCGUAAUUUUCUUUGAGAGUUCUUAUCGACAGGAUUAGUUGCGACCUCGAUGUUGAAUUAAAAUUUCAAGUAGGUGUAGCCGCUUGCUUAGUGGGUCUGUUCGACCUUUAAAAUUUUACAUGAUUUGAGUUCAAACCGGUGUGAG
This 538-nucleotide ribosomal RNA is filed under the name Isopericlimenaeus gorgonidarum. Its description in RNAcentral is "partial large subunit ribosomal RNA". It matches the Rfam family "Bacterial large subunit ribosomal RNA", at positions 1819 to 2625 of the family's 2925-position model. The record is from RNAcentral. Lineage: Eukaryota; Metazoa; Arthropoda; Malacostraca; Decapoda; Palaemonidae.